This 127-nucleotide small RNA is filed under the name Marmota monax (woodchuck). Lineage: Eukaryota; Metazoa; Chordata; Mammalia; Rodentia; Sciuridae. The record is from RNAcentral.
GCUGGGCAUGGUGGUGCACACCUGUAAUCCCAGCAGCUCAGGAGGCUGAGGCAGGAGGAUCUCAAGCUUGAGGCCAGCCUCAGCAACUUAGCCAGGCUGUAAGCAACUCAGUGAGACUUUGUCUCUA